RNAcentral lists this ribosomal RNA (598 nucleotides) under uncultured archaeon. Its description in RNAcentral is "bacterial SSU rRNA". It matches the Rfam family "Archaeal small subunit ribosomal RNA", at positions 10 to 613 of the family's 1478-position model. The record is from RNAcentral.
GAUCCUGCCGGAAGCUACCGCUAUUGGAGUUCGAUUAAGCCAUGCGAGUCGAGAGUCUUAGGGACUCGGCGUACCGCUCAGUAACACGUGGGUAACCUGCCCUAUGCUGGGGAAUAACCUCGGGAAACUGAGAAUAAUGCCCCAUAGUCCACAAUGCCUGGAACGGUUUGUGGAUCAAAGCUCCGGCGGCAUAGGAUGGGCCUGCGGCGUAUCAGGUCGUAGGGGGUGUAACGUACCCUCUAGCCAUCGACGCGUACGGGUGUUGGGAGACAUAGCCCGGAGAUGGAUUCUGAGACACGAAUCCAGACCCUACGGGGUGCAGCAGGCGCGAAAACUUGGCAAUGCGAGAAAUCGUGACCAGGGAACUCCAAGUGGCUGGGGUAAGACCCAGUCUUUUCUUGACUCUUCAAAGGUCUUGGAAUAAGGGGUGGGUAAGGACGGUGCCAGCCGCCGCGGUAAUACCGGCGCCUCAAGUGGUAGUCGAUUUUAUUGGGCCUAAAACGUCCGUAGCCUGUUUGGUACAUUCGUGGGUAAAUCAACCAGCUCANCUGAUUGAGUUCUGCGAGCACGGCCAGACUUGGGACCGGGAGAGGUGUGG